ACCCUCAGGGCAUCUGAGCUCUGGUCACCAUGCCCUUGGGCUGAGGUUUGUGUCUUUCUCCAUUUACAGUGACACGUGGGCAAAGGAGUAUCAAGAGUGCCCAAGUCACUGGCAUUAAAACAUAAUUUUCUUUUCAGAAAAAAGACAAAAUCAUGACUCUUAAACAGAUAUAAAGAUGAAUGAGAUAUGUAUGUGUGUAUAUAUACAAAGUUUAGAAAAGGCAUAAAAGCCCAAACGAACAGGUAUGGCAUAACGAAAUGUUGGGAUGAAUUGCAAGCAGAGACAAAACUUUUUUCUAUAGUGGGAAGAAAGUCAACUAAAAUCACUACCAGACAAGAAAGAAUUUACGUGUAAUUACGUACAACUUACAAAGAGUUGAAAAACCGUUUGAAGAUGGAUGAGGAAAAGGACUAGAAUCUGCGAAUCCAGAAGGGUAGGCUAUACACGACACAGGGUUCACUGAAACAGGUUUUUUUUCUAUCCCUGGAUGCCAAACAUAUUCCUCCCUGCGCCCGCUGUGGAAUAGCAGCCCUCUCUUCCUGAUGAUCAGGAUCAAUUAUUCUACCGACUGAUGACUGCUCUUUUUGCUUGCUAGGGCCUGGACAGAGGAAGCCCGAAGUGCCCUAGCUCAUAAUUCAGUGGGACCAGGACCUCCAGUCCUGCAGACCUCAGAGUUAGGAGGACAAAGCAGAAAGUGGAUUAAUAAGUGUGAUGCUAAGUGGGUCUAUUCCUUCUUCCACACCUUGGUUCUCAGACCCUGUGUGCCCUUGGUGGGCACAGUACUGCAUACAGGCUUUUCAUUCAAUGCACAUACAGAAUCCUGAAAGAUGACACCCAUCCACACAGAGUACUGCCUCUGACUUGGCAUUGUAGCUGUGUCUUCAGGAUACACGCCAGGGGUCUUGCAAGCUGGCAGCUUCUAGGUGGUGGAUUCCAUGGCCAUGGGCUCACUCUCACACCUCCCAUGCUGUAAAAAUUAGUCCUCUGGCCUUAGGUGAUAUUACAUGGAAUUCCGUACCAGUGGAUCAAAUACUCUGUAAGCCUUCAGAUAGUUGUGCUGGUCAAGACCCUGUUGUCAGGAAAGGCAAACUCACAGCCUAAAUAUGAAUCUAUUCCUCUGAGAGUGAAGAACAGAUGGAAAGGGCCUAAUGAGGUCGGCUUGCUACCAACCGGCUGAUUUGUCUCUUGAGGAAGACCAACCAGUGUGGUGCCAUAUUGGGGGUUCUAUUUCAGGCGGAUGACUUUGGGGGCAGAUAUCAUCCUGAGUGAUAGUCCACACUGCUGGCCCAUAAAGAGCCUCCCUCUUUGCCCCCACAGCCACUUGGUUCAUGCUUCUGCCGUGUUAGCACUGGAGUGGCUGAUGACAGAGGCUUGCUGAGGUCAGUGGACUGAGCCAUCUACUUGGUUGUUUAGUAUCAAAGGUAGAUACUCUCUGGGGAUGUUAACAUGUGGUACAGAGAUUUUCCCACUUCAUGCUCACCUCCACUAAAUCCACCCAAGUACCUCUACCCCAGACUCUUUAUCCCUGAUCUUUCUGUUUUUCUUAAUCAGCUGGCCAGGCACGUACCACUAUUUAGACUAACUCUGGGUCCCUUCUCUUUUCUACACCAAAUGGAUGACCAGUACACUACUCAAAGCUCUGGCCCUUGGGAGGAUUUUCCUUCGUUAUGGUUUUUCAAAAUAUAUGGCGUUGGAGUUCCCUUUGUGGUGCAGCAGAAACAAUCUGACUAGGAACCGUGAGGUUGCAAGUUCGAUCCCUGACCCCGCUCAGUGGGUUAAGGAUCUGGCAUUGCUGUGAGCUGUGGUGUAGGAUGCAAAUGCGGCUCGGAUCUGGCGUUGCUGUGCUGUGGCGUAGGCUGGCAGCUGUGGCUCCGAUUCAAUCCCUAGCCUGGGAAAUUCCAUAUGCCUCAGGUGUGGCCCUAAAAAGCUAAACAAACAAACAAAAAACCAAAACAAAACAAAAAACCCCCCAAAACAAAAAAAGAUAUGUGGUCCUGACCCAUCCAUGCAACAAGCUCAGAUUUUUUUUCUCCUCUUUCGGUUGCUCUUAUAAAAUGCCCAUACAGCCAUGGGCAUGGCCUGAGGGAGGCGCUCUGGGGUGAUCUCAGGUAGACAACAGGUUUGUCUGGGUUAGCUGUUCAUGCAGCUUGCUUGUGUCCUCCAGCACUCUUGUGCUCAAUCCUGGAAGUACCACUUCCACCCAUCUGACUCAUUCUUUCUCUACCAGGGCCCACUGGCAGGUUAGAACCUGUUUUUCAAAGGCAUAUAAUUCUUCACUGCAGAUGGCAUGGUCUUGCUCCAGAGCCUGGGGAGUUGCAUUGUGAUUCUCUCACUGGAGCCACAAAUUCCACGGGGUACCUUUCCCCACCACCUUUACUUCCAACCCCAUAGGGUCUGUCACAUCAUAUGGUCCAAGUAGCAGAAUUGCUUGCAUGUCACCUGGUACAUGAGUCAGAGCAGUAUCUCUGAGGUGUAGAAUAUGCUGACUCAACAACUUCUAGACGGUUAUCAAUGCCCUGGUUAUUGGACCUAAUUACUGAGUCCUGAAAAUGUCACAGGUGUGGGAGUCUCCACACCCUCUAGAACACAUCUCUUGUAAAGGUCUCCAGUAUGCUAGCCACCUCUUGCUCCAAUCAAUAUAAUGUCAUCCUGCGAAUGUCCAGCUGGUCCAGAUCUCUUUGAACUUAACAUGGUCUUGGAAAAAAAAUCCUUAAUGUACAUGGUCAUUUUUCUCAGAAGAUGAAUUUUUUCUAGUCCUGUGUUUUUUUUUGGAAAAAAGUGCAUUCGUCACAACCCACAGCUGUAUACCAUGUCCUUGAGGUGAUAUUGAGUUGGUUUAAUGAAGAUACCACAGCUGGCACUGUGCCUGUGAUUGUGGUUGUAUUUGAUUGAGCUUGUGAUGGUCUAUAGUGACCCUUCCCAACCCAUCUAGUUUCUUCAGGCACCAGCUCGGUCAAAUAAACAAGGAUGGAGAGGAGGAGCAGAGGCUAGAAUGAGGCAAUAAUCUCGAUUCCCCUCUCACCUCACAAUAUGACUUUACAUUUAUUUAUUUGUGCCUAGGUGGAAGGGUUAAUUUCAGAGGCUUCAUUUGGCCUUUCCCAAUACGAUAGCUCUUAUUUUGCAGUCUGAGGAUGCAAGGUGGGAGGUUAGGCCAGUUGCCAAAUAGGUCAUCACAAUUACAUAUUCGAGGGCUGGGUAAUUGACCACUUGGUGGGACCAUGUGUGCUGGGGAUCUUUGUAAAGGGGACUUUGGUCAGGACUACAUUUAUUAUUUGGCCCCCAUAGGACUCACCCUAACAUGGGGCCAUGAUGAAUCAGGUUUUGAGCAUCAUUUAGGGCUUCGGUCCAACCUUGUUCAAAAUUUCUGGGUAUUCCCUGUUCCUUAGUGCCUAGUUACCCGAGUAAAUAGCCUGUGGGGAAGAUAUGGGGGAAUCAUUACUGCGUAUACAUGCCAUGAUAUUGCAGUGUUUUUCCUCUGAUGGACCCAGCCACUUCUGUCAAUAGUUUUGGGUUUGAAAAUUGACUCAGAUUCAGAAAUUGGGCAAGGGAGAACGACUUUUCAUUGGGCAACUGCCCUCAGCUUCCUGGUGGAUCAUCUUUGAUUUCUUCUGCUAGUAAGCUGAGGCAUAAAAGUUGGGUAACAGUCCAUCUAUUUUUUUCUUUAGGAACACUAUUCCAGUAAAGAUUCUCAUAACUCGGUGAUUCUGACCUUGGCUGCCACUCUGUCUGAGCUUCCCAGUCUUCGCAGCAAUUAUGAUCAGCUUUGGAUGGGUUUGUGCUGCCACCUGGAGUCCUAUCAUCCUUACUGCUAUCAGCCCGCAUGGCUCUGUAACGGUGUCUUUAUAGAAGAGAGUCACCUCUGAACUUGCAGUGAUCCUGCUGUACCUCUGCCCAUUACAUUCCUUAUAAUAUUUGUCCCUAACUGUAUGUCCUCUUGGUCUUCCAGCCAUAGUGCAUCCAGCAGGCCCACUUCCCUGAGCCUUUCAGCUUGUGCCUUCACUGCCUGCAAUAGACAUUCUGGAACUUCAACUUUGCUCAUUAUGGACUACCACUUUUCCCAUGUUUCUAGAAGCCAUGGUGGUAGCAAGUUUGUACUGACUCCUGGAAUCCUUGCUAGGGAGUUAAAUUCUGUAUCUUUGAGAGCACUUCCAAGCCAAAAAUUCUUUUCUAUUCGAUCUUAUAUUCUGGCUCCUUUCUUCAAGCACCCUCAGGGUCUCCUCCAGCCCCUGUGGAAUCAUGGAAUGGGAAGAGGGAAGGCUAGUGAGGAUUAUGGUGAGGUAUGUCCCUAGGCUCAGACUGUUCCCAGGGGUUUGAGGAGUCAAAAAUCUUUGGGAAGGAUCCAACCAGAUGUCGCAUCUCAUGUGUCAGGUUUUCCCAACAGGAGCCCUGAUGGAGCAUAACAGACCUGCCUUUGUAGGUCUGCUACUCUGUUAAGUCCUCAUCUUGGUCCUUCCUCUUCCCUCCCACCGUAGGAGAUAAGAGCCUCUUUGUAUGCAAACAAAGAAGUCCUCUGGUUCCACAUCUGGCUUUCAAUUGCCUGGUACUUGUCCUCUGCUGUUCACGAUCCUCCUGGAGCCAUCAGUGGCACUUAGCAAUAGCCAGCCAAUCUCAUUGCUGUGUAGGCACCCUCUCCUCUCUACGCCUUCAAUGCCUGAUACACUGCAAGUGCAUGCCUUCUCGGGUAUACCAUCCCAAUUCACCACGGAUGAAACCUUAAAAACAUUGGAAAGAAGGGACAGGAGGGAAGGAAGGUGCCUGGCUCCAGGGAGAGGAUCCCAUGGAAAGCAGUCAAUUAGGGAGCUCAUUUGUUGUUACUAGUUAAACAUUCCCAAGAGCCUUCUUCCCUGGAGGGUUAGACAAAUUCUCAGCAGCAAUCAGGGGGACCCAGCUUGCUGAGGAAUCUGUAGUUGUGUGUGUGUGUCUUGUGGGAGAGAGAAGGCUGUUCUUUGAUUUUCUUUAAAAUGGUCAUGUUCUGAUCGAAUCAGCCGUAGCUUUUGAAAGAAGCAGUAAGUCACAAGCCACUUUCUAGUUUUGGCUGCCAGGCAGGACAUUCCCCUCCC
RNAcentral lists this long non-coding RNA (5060 nucleotides) under Sus scrofa (pig). RNAcentral's name for it is "lncRNA (ENSSSCG00000055782.1)". Lineage: Eukaryota; Metazoa; Chordata; Mammalia; Artiodactyla; Suidae. The record is from RNAcentral.